UUGACUUAUUUGAUAAGUUACUCAGAGAGGCCUACAAAAACAGGGUUUUAGGUACCGCCGGCGGGCGACCCCAGAGGGGCUGACACCGCCGAGGCAACGGUUACGGGUAACGUUCGCGAUGGUUGUGGGAGUUUUGCAACUCGUUAAUGAUCCCUCCGCUGGUUCACCAACGGAGA
RNAcentral lists this unclassified non-coding RNA (176 nucleotides) under uncultured fungus. RNAcentral describes it as "sequence contains ITS1". Lineage: Eukaryota; Fungi. The record is from RNAcentral.